Molecule: ribosomal RNA, 376 nt
Filed under: uncultured bacterium
Lineage: Bacteria
Description: bacterial SSU rRNA
Rfam family: Bacterial small subunit ribosomal RNA
Source: RNAcentral
AAACGUAGGAGGCAAGCGUUAUCCGGAUUUACUGGGCGUAAAGCGCGUGCAGGCGGUUUGGAAAGUUGGAUGUGAAAGCUCCCGGCUUAACUGGGAGAGGUCGUUCAAAACUUCCAGACUAGAGGAUGGGAGAGGGAGGUGGAAUUCCGGGUGUAGUGGUGAAAUGCGUAGAUAUCCGGAGGAAACCCAGUGGCGAAAGCGGCCUCCUGGACCAUUUCUGACGCUCAGACGCGAAAGCUAGGGGAGCAAACGGGAUUAGAGACCCCGGUAGUCCUAGCUGUAAACCAUGUAGACUUGGCGUCGGUGGGUUUAAAUCCAUCGGUGUCGAAGCUAACGCGAUAAGUCUACCGCCUGGGGACUACGGCCGCAAGGUUAA